RNAcentral lists this long non-coding RNA (504 nucleotides) under Spirodela polyrhiza (greater duckweed). Its description in RNAcentral is "long non-coding RNA (SPOL_LNC002390)". The record is from RNAcentral. Lineage: Eukaryota; Viridiplantae; Streptophyta; Magnoliopsida; Alismatales; Araceae.
CGGGUAGUCCUUCUUCGGAGGGGAAGCGGGGGCGGCGCCGCCGUGGGCGGCGGCCUUGAGGAGCAACUCCAGGGAUCUGAGCUUGGAAGGCCCGCCGGGGAAGAAUUUCCUCCAUAUGAGGUCCCCGGGUUUUUUCCCGGCGGCGUUGACGGCCUCGACGUCGGCGGAGGCGGCGAUAAGCAGAUUGACGGCGUCGACGGAGGAGGGUGCGCCGCCGGAGGCGGCGCAGUGGAGGGCCGUGAACCUGUCUGUUCCGCAGGCCCGGUUGACGUCGGCGGCACCGGUGGAGAGGAUGUACUCCAGUACGGCGGAGCUGCCGUACACGGCGGCGAUCAUGAGCGGGGUCCGCUCCUCGAAGGCCAUCCUCCGCCCCCAUCGCCCAUACCAGGGGGACGGCAGAUCUACGUCCAGACCUCCUCCCUCCACCGCGCGGCGGAAGCCCGAGAGGUCGUCCGCCGCCGCCAGCUCGAGCAGCACCGAUCCCUGCAGCUUCUUCCCCUUGCA